AUGGAUCUUCGGGGUAAGGUGAAAUUCCUGACCGGCGGUGAUGGUUCGUUAUAUGUAGAAACGUUCCUCAGCCCGCGACUCUCCGUUUUGAAACUCAAGACGGCGACUGACUUGGUGCAAUUCCAAGGCCGACGGUAUAGUCCGGAUGGGAGAAGAUCAAA
RNAcentral lists this non-coding RNA (161 nucleotides) under Paenibacillus sp. RNAcentral describes it as "FMN sequence". It matches the Rfam family "FMN riboswitch aptamer (RFN element)". Rfam says of the family: The RFN element is a highly conserved domain that is found frequently in the 5'-untranslated regions of prokaryotic mRNAs that encode for flavin mononucleotide (FMN) biosynthesis and transport proteins. This element is a metabolite-dependent riboswitch that directly binds FMN in the absence of proteins. Lineage: Bacteria; Bacillati; Bacillota; Bacilli; Caryophanales; Paenibacillaceae. The record is from RNAcentral.